Molecule: ribosomal RNA, 253 nt
Filed under: uncultured bacterium
Lineage: Bacteria
Description: partial 16S ribosomal RNA
Rfam family: Bacterial small subunit ribosomal RNA
Source: RNAcentral
UACGGGGGGAGCAAGCGUUGUUCGGAUUUACUGGGCGUAAAGGGCUCGUAGGCGGUCAAUUAAGUCUGAUGUGAAAGCCCCCGGCUCAACCGGGGAGGGUCAUUGGAAACUGAUUGACUUGAGUACUGGAGAGAAGAGUGGAAUUCCACGUGUAGCGGUGAAAUGCGUAGAGAUGUGGAGGAACACCAGUGGCGAAGGCGACUCUUUGGCCAGAAACUGACGCUGAGGCGCGAAAGCGUGGGGAGCAAACAGG